CUGGAUUGUGAAUUCAUGCACAGAACCAGACCUUCUCUACACCUAAUGCCAAAAAAAGCCUGCAAAGUUCUCCUCUGUUACAAAGCAACACACAAAGCCCUCCUAGUCCAUCACCUGUUGCUCAAGGCAUCUAAGAGUAGAAACACACUGAGCCCCUGGAGCCCACACUGAGAAGCUGAGCACUGAGAAGGGACCAGGAUGUGAGGAACCACAUUAGUGGUCUUUGGCCACUAUUUCUGCUGAGCAAAAACCAGAAGGCUUAUUCCUUUGUUCUAGAAAUCAGAAAACAAGGAGAAGAAGCACUGCUUUAAUUACAUUUAGUGGUUUCUCCUAGGUACAGAGACAUGGUCAUGGAUCUUUCUAUAUAUAUAUAUAGCAGUGUCCCUGGUAUGGCAGCAUGGCUGUUUGUUCCUGAAUUAGUCAACCAUCCUAGCAGGACCUUGUAGCUAAUGACUACAAUAGCAAGUAUGGCUUUGAGUGCCACAGAGAUUCAAAACUGAUUCUUCAGACCUACGCAUGAGGCAGUUCUCCAGAUCUAUUGAGGACAUGGAAUGGUUUGGAAACCAAACUAAGGAACAAGGCACAAACCCAAUCUUUAUAGGACCAGGGAGAAAAUGCUAAGAGGAAAAAGAGCAAUUGUGGUUUUAUUCCAUCAUUAUUAGCUAUAACUUGCAAUUGCUGUGGGGUAGUUCAGAGUUUAUUCAGGUUGACAACUUGAGUCAAAAGUUUAUUUCAUUCCUGAAGCUGCAGACUUGAAAUGCUUCACGUUCUUACAUCCCAGGGGAAUCCCGUAUGCAAAAUACUUGAAAAUACAUUUUUUAUCAGAAAGAAAAAAAAAGAUUUAAGCAUUGUUGCAAGUGUUUUAUAUAUUCAUAGAAAUCUCAAACUACUAGGUUAAUUCCUGAGACUAUUUUUACCUUUUGCACUUGUGCUUAUUGUUGUCUGAUUCCAUAUUCUCUUACUGCUUGUAACCCACACUAAUCCUAUCUCACUGCAUGCAAUAAUAAAGCAAAGAAUUACCUAAGGGAUGAAAAGAACGCAUUCCUCACUGUCUUGCAUAAGGAUGAAAACAGAACAUUUCAGGGACUUCAACAACUCAUUUCUCUGAAUAGGAGCAAAGAAAUAAAAGGCAGCAAGCUUUAACCACUCCACAAAUCCCAGCUCAAGUAAGAAGCUCACAAAGGGCACUAAGGCAGGGAGACAUGUGGACACGUGCACACCAUCACCUCAUCUGCAAAAAUGGACCUGUUUCACAGCACCAGCCAGUUCAUAGAGCCAAACGCCUUCCCCAGCCCCAUGGGAAAGCAGUGUCAAGGCACAGGAACUGGGAAGUGUCCCAGGG
Molecule: long non-coding RNA, 1342 nt
Organism: Passer domesticus (house sparrow)
Lineage: Eukaryota; Metazoa; Chordata; Aves; Passeriformes; Passeridae
Exons: 3
Source: RefSeq, a predicted model, not a curated record